CCUCGUCCUCCUCGCUCUAGCCGCGGGAAAGGAGUAGGCCAGCGGCUUGGGGUAGCGAUGGAGGAUCGUCGGCGGUGCUUGUGGGGUUCGGAGGACCCGGCCUUCGGCGGUCGGCGAAGUUGGCCUAGCUAUGCGGCGGUAGGCGCAGCUCUUUCUAGUGCCUAGCUUUGGCGGUCGCGGCGGGAGAGGCUAGUGGGUGAGUGGGCGAGCUCUACUUCCGCAAGCAGAUCGACACACCCUCUCGCCUAGUGUGCUCCCUCUCUCUCUCUCCUCCAGCGCACGAACCCGCCACAACGCAACAACGCCGUCGUCCACUCUCCUUUGUUCUCUCUACCGCACGGAAGCACCACUUCUAUUCCUUUCUUUCCUCCCCCUCCACAAUAGACCC
Molecule: ribosomal RNA, 388 nt
Filed under: Triticum aestivum (bread wheat)
Lineage: Eukaryota; Viridiplantae; Streptophyta; Magnoliopsida; Poales; Poaceae
Description: partial small subunit ribosomal RNA
Source: RNAcentral